AUGGCCGCCUCCCCGGACCGCGCCAAUGACGACCUCUGCCGCCGACUCGCCGUAGACACGCCUCCACCGCCCCAGAUCGCCAAAGAGAAGCAAGGCCUGGAUACUGGCAUGCCCCUUUCUCCUCAGUGGCUUAUGAAGGAGCCCAGUUCACAGGGUUCACGCUCAGAUGCUACAAAGACAUCAGGUAAUGGUGAAGACAUGGACUCCAGUGUGAAGAAAAAGGAUGUCUUCAGGGCUUCUGUGCUUGAUGGUGAAGCUGCGCGUCGUGACCGUUGGCGUGAUGAUGAGCGGGAACCAAAUUCAGGCCCUCGGUGGGUUCGCUGGAGGGAGACAGACAAGGAACAAGCUGAUACACGCAAGGUAGAAAAAUGGUCAGAUGACUCGUCCAAGUUUUCUGUGGAUGGCCGUCGUGCUCCACAGGAACGUUGGGGUGAUUCCAGUAACAAGGAGGGCAACUAUGACCAACGCCGUGAGGGCAAGUGGAUUACUCGUUGGGGUUCCAGUGAUAAGGAGUCUGAAAAUUGGCGUGAUCGCUGGGGUGAUUCGGGCAAGGAGGGUGAUGCUUCCCGUGAAAAAGGUUUUUCGCAGUUUGUUGCACAUGGGAAAGAUGGCAACAUUCAUGACAAGGAUACUGAGAGAGAUGAUAACAUUUCUCGGUCAUGGAAGUCUAGUCAUCCUGUGGGCCGUGGCCGGGGUGAUUCUUCUUAUCACCCCUCACAGAUAUCACAAAAACCACCUUCUUUGUAUGGGUAUGGUAGAGGGAAGCCAGACAAUGAAAUCACAGGUUUUUCAGGUUCUCGUGGAAAAUUUACCCCUAGUUCUGGUAGUACAAAUGCUGGCAGUACUGGAUCUUCACGUCCAUUCCAUCUUGGUCUACUUUCUGACAGACCUGGUGGUGCAUCAGGGGAUCGCACAGCAUUUAGAUAUAGUAGGAUGAAACUGCUUGACAUAUACAGAACAACUUCCCAUGUUACUGACUUCAAGAUGCCUUUUGAUGUUUGUGAGGAAGGGUCUGCAUUUAUGCAAGAAGAAAUGUUGGAGCCUUCAGCAUUAUUUGCUCCGACGACUGACGAAGCGGUCAUUUUAAAAGCAAUUGACAAAGGGGAAAUCAUAAACAGUGGUGUCCAUCAGGUUUCCAAAGAUGGGUCUGUUGGGAAAAGUAAUCCUGAUGUGGUGCCGUCAAAACAAUCUAAAUUAGGUGGUAGAGAUGAUCAACCUGGAAGUGCAGAUGAUUUGAAGGGAGAAACAGCUGGAAGUCUCAGUGGUGUUCCUGGAAAUGUUGAUUCACUGCGUACAGAGACACCUAGCUAUGUUGUUCCACAAAGAUCUCGCUUUAUUGGAGACCAUAGGCUUGGCCCAACUGACUUUCCGCAGCAAAUGCCCAAUGUCUUUGAUCAAGAAAGUAAAGUAGUCGGGAUGACAGGUGUUGAUGAGUUGACCAGUCCUAUUCAACCUUAUCCUAAUCCAGAAAAUCUCUCUUUAUACUACAAAGACCCACAAGGUCGAAUUCAAGGCCCAUUUUCUGGUGCUGACAUCAUUGGCUGGUUUGAGGCUAGUUACUUUGGUAUUGAUUUACUGGUUCGAGUUGCAAAUGCUCCUCCUGAUGCGCCUUUCUUAAUGCUUGGCGAUGUUAUGCCUCACCUACGAGCAAAGGCAAGGCCACCUCCAGGGUUUAGCACCACAAAAUCCACUGAUAUGCUAAUGCCGGAGACUCCACCUACAGGGAAAUUUGUCAGCUCCAGUAGCACACAUAGCGGAUCAGCUGGUGUCGGUAUUUUUAACAGUGGGCCAAGCAGGAAUGGCGGUGCUGUUGAAGCUCAGAAUCGUUUUCUGGAGUCACUGAUGUCUAAUGGUAUGCAAGGUCCUUCAGCUGCUAUGACUGGAGGGCUGAAUGAAUAUAACAGCAGUAGCUUUGGCAACAUUGCGAUGGCCGGAGGCGAGAUGGGGAAUAGCAUGAAUUAUCUUUUGGCACAGCAGAGAUUGUUGGAAAGACAAAAAUCUUCCCAAAAUGCUGUUCCAUAUUGGUCUGCAGAUGGUAUUCCAGCAGCACAGGCACAAAACAAAGAUACAGCUUCAGAAGUGUCUGCUCUGCACUCUAAAGUACCCAGUACAAUGGCUGAUCCAUCUCGUCAAGCAUCACAAUCUCAAAAUGUUGACUUGCUUGCUAUGCUGCAUUCUGCAGAGAAACCUAAAGCACCUGCGGGAUUGCCACCAUGGUCAAACUAUCCCGAAUCCCGAAAUGUUAAUCCUAACCUUCAUGUGGAUCUCACUCAAGGGCCACUUAACAUGCAUCAAAAUCUGCAGAAUUCUCAGCAAAUGGCUACUGCUGUUCAACAACAGAACUUCAUGCCACAGAACCAGCCACCUCUCUCUCAUUUGCCAUCAGAGAAGUUGCUUGCUGAGAUAUCUCAAGACCCACAACUCUUGCACAUGUUUCAACAACAGUAUCUGCUAUCACAACUACAGUUGCAAUCACAGCCGCCAGUGGCACCUCAACCUCAGCCACAACUCUCAAUGUUGGACAAGAUGAUAUUGCUUCAGCAGCAGCAGCAGCAGCAGCAGCAACAGCAACAUCAGCAGCUGCAACAACGACUACAGCUUGAGCAACAGCAGUUGUUGCUGCAACAACAGCACCUAGUUUCUCACGUUGCACCUCAUGGACAUCCCAACCAACAGCUUGAUGAUCCUUAUGGGUCGAAGCAUACUACAUUGCCAGCUGGUGAUUCUAUGAAUCUUGGUGUUCGAACAAUUCAAGAGGUUCUUGAAGCUGAUCGUAUUUUGACUAACCAUGGUACACCCCAGGGAUCUAGUCAAGCAUUUAUGAGUAUGAGGGGUAUGGAGGGUGUUGGAACAUCACAAAGCUCUGUACCUACUGUGCCAUUGCCUCAUGAAUUUUUUAUGGGCGCACCUUCGAAAGAACGGUUUCCCCAUCCUCAGAAGUUGGGAAACUCGGCAAGUGAUAACACUCAACUUAGUGCAAGUAUGGUCAGUACGAUGCAAACAGAAGUUGCAGAAAGGUAUGAGGAGGCUUCUGGAAACUAUCAGCAAGUUGGAAUAGGUAAAGUUGAAAGUAAGCCUGCAAAUAUUUUAAGUUUAAGAUCUACAGAGGCCAGCAGUUCAGCUCUUAGUGAAGCUAAGUGUUUUCCUGAGACACCACUGAAUCAACUAUCAGAGAUCAUGUCGCCUCAUAAUCGUGUCCAGGAAAUUACAAAUACCCUUGAUGCAGUUGAGCUAACUAUGACAACUGAUGCAAAAACUCCUGAUGCACAAGAGACAAAGAAAGCUGAAAAGAAAAAGAAGCAGAAGAAGAAACAGACAGCUGUAGAUGUUGGCAAAGGAGCUCCAAACACAGUUUCUCAACAUCCAACACUAGAAGCUGAAGUUGAUGCUUCAAAUCAGGCUGUUACUAAGCAUGGUUUGCCAGAUGACACAGACGAACUUUUUUGGGGUUCCACUGCCAGAGGGGAAAGCUCUUCUAGAGCAGUUGGACCUCCGCUGGGCUUUGAAUCAUAUGUGAAUUUGCCUCCCAAAAGUCUUCCUGAGGAGUAUGCUAUCAAUAGAGCUGAAUGGGAACCUAGUGCUCUAUCCGAGCCUCAUGCAGCGGCAAGCCAGAAAGGUUGGAAACCUACCCAAGGACCCAGGCCUAAAUCACUGCUGGAAAUUCAAGCUGAGGAACAACUAAGAGCACAGAGGGUAGCUGCGGACAGUGCCAAGAUAACCAUGCCAGCGCCUCCUGUGCCAUCAGGUCCUUGGAAUACCAUGUCUGCAUCUUCUGAGCAACAAUUGGGGGGUGCAGGUAAAUCACUGGGUGGCCAGGAAAGUGCUGGUGACUCCAGGAACAAGAGAAGUCAGUUGCAUGAUUUGUUAGCGGAAGAAGUUCUGGCAAGGUCUAGUAAUGCAGACAAUGAGAACAUAGGCAAUGCUAAUGAUGUGUUGUUUCCUCCUCUAUCACCUGCUGUUGUUCAGUCUGAUGCUCCUACUUUUGAUGAUGAUGACUUCAUUGAGGCCAAGGACUCGAAAAAGAACAAGAAAAAGGGGACAAAGUCAAAAGGAUCUGCAGCCAAAGCCCCAUUACCUGUUAGUUCCAUUGAUUCAUCAGUUAUGUCUAUACCAGCUGAAAAGGGCAAAUCUUCAAAGCAAGCGAAACAAGAGAAGGAAAUACUUCCGGCUCCUCCAAGUGGUCCAUCCUUUGGAGAUUUUGUUCCUUGGAAGACUGACCAGACAAAUUUUGCGCCUGCUCCAGCAUGGUCCAAUGACUCUGCGAAGGUGCACAAACCUUUGUCUUUGAGAGAUAUUCAGAGAGAGGAAGAAAGGAGAUCAGGUGUUGUCCAGCAACAACCACCCUCACCUACUCCAGCAAAGGUUUCGGUGAACCAACGGAAUCAUGGUAAUGCUUCUUCUAAGCAAGCUUCUGGGUCUUCUCCAUCAAAGGCAGUUGCCCCUGUCCAGAUGAGUUCCAAUCCUUCCAAUCGUUCCAAGUCAAAUGCUGAAGAUGAUCUGUUUUGGGGCCCAUCUGACCACUCCAAACAAGAUAAGAAACAGUCAGAAUUCCCAAGUCUAGCAAGUCAGAGUAAAAGUUCCAUGACGAAAGACCAGUCUUCAGUAAACCGUCACAAGUCUCAGGCUAGCAAGUUGCCACUUUCAACGGCUCCUAGUGCUAACCUCAUUGGGAAAGGGAAAGCAGAGGCAGCAAACAAGCAGACAGAGGCAAUGGACUUCCGGGAUUGGUGCGACAGCGAGUGGUCCAGGCUCACUGGAACAAAUGAUACAAGUUUCCUUGAGUUCUGCAUUAAGCAGUCGACUGCUGAAGCAGAAAUGCUUCUCCGGGAGAACGUCGGCUCUCUCGACCGCAACGGCCAGUUCAUCGACAGGUUCCUCAACUACAAGGCUUUUCUGUCCACAGAUGUGAUCGAGAUGGCAUUCAGAGCGCCCAGCAACCGUGCCCCCCGCCUGAACCCCGCUUCUGCAGCCAAAGGAGGGCCAAGUGCUGAGGCAGAGCAGGAUACAGGAGGAAAGAAAAAAGGGAAGAAAGGGAAGAAGGUGAGCGCAGCGGUUUUAGGGUUCAAUGUAGUCAGCAACCGCAUCAUGAUGGGAGAGAUCCAGAACGUGGAUUAG
Molecule: ribosomal RNA, 5115 nt
Filed under: Triticum aestivum (bread wheat)
Lineage: Eukaryota; Viridiplantae; Streptophyta; Magnoliopsida; Poales; Poaceae
Description: partial small subunit ribosomal RNA
Source: RNAcentral